AAAAGUAUUCUAGCCACUACCCAAACUUUCUGCAGUCACUCUACAACAAUGCUCUCUCUCUUUUCGGUUGCACAAUUUUUGUUAGCUUCUUGAUAUCUUUGUGCUUAAACAGUUGAGUAGUAAUCUCCAACCUAGCUCGACUAGCAUCAAAAUUUAUCAUCAUGGACUUCAUGUUGUUACAUAGCAUGUACUUUGCAUACUUAAUGACGAAAAUG
This 215-nucleotide long non-coding RNA is filed under the name Olea europaea (common olive). RNAcentral's name for it is "long non-coding RNA (OEUR_LNC003144)". Lineage: Eukaryota; Viridiplantae; Streptophyta; Magnoliopsida; Lamiales; Oleaceae. The record is from RNAcentral.